Molecule: ribosomal RNA, 253 nt
Filed under: uncultured bacterium
Lineage: Bacteria
Description: partial 16S ribosomal RNA
Rfam family: Bacterial small subunit ribosomal RNA
Source: RNAcentral
UACGUAGGGUGCAAGCGUUAUCCGGAAUUAUUGGGCGUAAAGAGCUCGUAGGCGGUUUGUCGCGUCUGCUGUGAAAACUGGGGGCUCAACCCCCAGCCUGCAGUGGGUACGGGCAGACUAGAGUGCGGUAGGGGAGAUUGGAAUUCCUGGUGUAGCGGUGGAAUGCGCAGAUAUCAGGAGGAACACCAAUAGCGAAGGCAGCUCGCUGGGACGUUACUGACACUGAGGCGCGAAAGCGUGGGGAGCGAACAGG